CAUAAUCAAACGUCGCAUUCUGCUUGACAUGCUGCUAGCCAUGCCUGGAUCAGACCGAAGUGGUUUGUUAACAAGAUUCACUAAACAACUCAAACUAAUCCAGGCUCUUCAGAAAGUUAAAGCAAAGUUCAAACCCAAGAAGACCAGAGACAGGUAAGAACUGAGUAUUCUUGUUUCUGUUUGAGUUUUUAGUCUUGAUACAACUUUACCAUAAUGAAACUGUGCUCAGAAAUUGAGAUUAGUCUUUCUUCUUCCUUUUUUUGGAGACAGGAUUUUGGAUUUUGAACGUGACAAGGUUGAUGUUAUCAGCUCUUUAUCUGAUCACAUCCUUUGCAGGAUCAUUUCCUUUCUUCCUUUUGAGUCUGUUGUCCAAAUUAGUGUACUUCCGACCCGAUGGAAAAACUUAUGGAAGAUGGCUUUAGUGAAAGAUGGGACAAACAAGGAAGCUGUCACUGCUGUUUUGAACUUUCUCAGUGAUUUUCCUCAACCAAGAGACAAAUGCGGGAUGCAAUAUAACUUUGAUCAAGGUAGUGUCCUCCUUGUUGCCAUUGCACCUACAGGUAUACUUCAUCUAGAUUUCUCUGCAGGGAAACAAGAAUCUCAAAGGCAAUUUAGCUUGUCCUUGGGGCGAAACCAGCGAAUUUACUACUACCACCAGCCAUCUCUUUCCACUGCGUUCAACUUGAAAGCUCUUUAUCUUGUAUCAGUUAGUCAUGUUUCUUCAGAGAUGGUUUCUUGUCUCUUGUCCAAUAUCCCAUCUCUUGAAAGUCUGACAAUAGCAAAAUGCAAUGGAUUACAAUCUAUACAACUUGAGAGUAAUUCAGAGCUUAAAAAAUUAACUGUCUUGGAUUGCUUGCAAUUGGAGUCUAUCAGGAUGCAUAUCAAUUUACAGUUCAGUUUAAAUUCCUUCCAAUGUCGAGGAAGAGUUGUGUCUUUUAAUAUCAGAAUGAUUGCAAUGAAAAUCCACUAUACUCCCCGUACCCUCCUGCAAAUUAUUAUUCACCUUUGGACCUGGAAGAUGCCAUGCUUGAUUUUAGACAAGGCCCUGGCUACUAUGGCAUCAAUGUACAUGGCUUU
Molecule: long non-coding RNA, 1077 nt
Filed under: Theobroma cacao (cacao)
Lineage: Eukaryota; Viridiplantae; Streptophyta; Magnoliopsida; Malvales; Malvaceae
Description: long non-coding RNA (TCAC_LNC005750)
Source: RNAcentral